Molecule: ribosomal RNA, 468 nt
Filed under: uncultured bacterium
Lineage: Bacteria
Description: partial 16S ribosomal RNA
Rfam family: Bacterial small subunit ribosomal RNA
Source: RNAcentral
GACGAACGCUGGCGGCGUGCUUAACACAUGCAAGUCGAACGGAAAGGCCCUGCUUUUGUGGGGUGCUCGAGUGGCGAACGGGGGAGUAACACGUGAGUAACCUGCCCUUGACGUUGGGAUAACUUCAGGAAACUGGGGCUAAUACCGGAUAGGAGCUCCUGCUGCAUGGUGGGGGUUGGAAAGUUUCGGCGGUUGGGGAUGGACUCGCGGCUUAUCAGCUUGUUGGUGGGGUAGUGGCUUACCAAGGCUUUGACGGGUAGCCGGCCUGAGAGGGUGACCGGCCCCAUUGGGAUUGAGCUGCGGCACAGACUCCUACGGGAGGCAGCAGUGGGGAAUAUUGCACAAUGGGCGGAAGCCUGAUGCAGCACAGCCGCGUGCCGGAUGACGGCCUUCGGGUUGUAAACCGCUUUCGUCUGUGCCGAAGCGUGAGUGACGGUAAUGGGUAAAGAAGCACCGGCUAACUACGUG